Notolabrus celidotus (New Zealand spotty) is the source of this 383-nucleotide long non-coding RNA. RefSeq lists it as uncharacterized. The transcript is spliced from 3 exons. The record is from RefSeq and is a predicted model, not a curated record. NCBI's taxonomy places the organism in Eukaryota, Metazoa, Chordata, Actinopteri, Labriformes, Labridae.
AGGCCGCGAUGGAUGCAGAGAACCCUCUUGCCUUGAUUUUACUGAGGCGUUUCCACUUGAACCAAACUGAUGGUGGAACGUAAUCCAAACAGAGCUUUUAAAGGAAAAUGAAUGUGCGUAAUAAAGACAGAUCCUAAUGGUGAUUCGGGAUUAUAAAAUAGCUACUAGUGUGGAAAAAGAGCCCUCUUCACAGAGGAGUCCUCGUCCUGCAGGGUGUGGGAAUGCAGGCCGGAUAAAUCACAGAAGAAUCCACGCAAAGGCUUGGGAGCAAAUCUGUGAUAUGUUCACAUUUACAAGAAUGCAACAGCUGUGUUUUCUUCCAUCCUCAGAACUUUACUCCUACUUUCUAUUCCAGCGUCUAUAAAUAAAGUAAUAAGAAAGUU